GAUGAACGCUGGCGGCGUGCUUAACACAUGCAAGUCGAACGGGAAACCUUUUAUUGAAGCUUCGGCAGAUUUAGCUGGUUUCUAGUGGCGGACGGGUGAGUAACGCGUGGGUAACCUGCCUUAUACAGGGGGAUAACAACCAGAAAUGGUUGCUAAUACCGCAUAAGCGCACAGGACCGCAUGGUCCGGUGUGAAAAACUCCGGUGGUAUAAGAUGGACCCGCGUUGGAUUAGCGAGUUGGCAUGGUAACGGCCUACCAAGGCGACGAUCCAUAGCCGGGCUGAGAGGGUGAACGGCCACAUUGGGACUGAGACACGGUCCAGACUCCUACGCGAGGCAGCAGUGGGGAAUAGUGCACAAUGGGGGAAACCCUGAUGCAGCGACGCCGGGUGAAGGAAGAAGUAUCGCGGUAUGUAAACUGCUAUCAGCAGGGAAGAUAGUGACGGUACCUGACUAAGAAGCCCCGGCUAACUACGUG
Molecule: ribosomal RNA, 478 nt
Filed under: uncultured bacterium
Lineage: Bacteria
Description: partial 16S ribosomal RNA
Rfam family: Bacterial small subunit ribosomal RNA
Source: RNAcentral